GACGAACGCUGGCGGCGCGCCUAACACAUGCAAGUCGAGCGAUGAAAGUUGUUCAGAUCCUUCGGGUGACGAACUUCUGGAUUAGCGGCGAACGGGUGAGUAACGCGUGAGGAACCUGCCUCUCACAACGGGAUAGCCUCGGGAAACCGGGAUUAAUACCGUAUGACACUAUCAGAUGGCAUCAUCAGGUAGUUAAAGUGCUAGCGGUGAGAGAUGGCCUCGCGUCUGAUUAGUUAGUUGGUGGGGUAACGGCCUACCAAGACGACGAUCAGUAACCGGCCUGAGAGGGUGAACGGUCACAUUGGAACUGAGACACGGUCCAAACUCCUACGGGAGGCAGCAGUGGGGAAUCUUGCACAAUGGGGGAAACCCUGAUGCAGCGACGCCGCGUGAGCGAUGAAGGUUUUCGAAUCGUAAAGCUCUGUCCUAUGGGAAGAUAAUGACGGUACCAUAGGAGGAAGCCCCGGCUAACUACGUGCCAGCCGCCGCGGUAA
RNAcentral lists this ribosomal RNA (494 nucleotides) under uncultured Eubacteriales bacterium. RNAcentral's name for it is "bacterial SSU rRNA". It matches the Rfam family "Bacterial small subunit ribosomal RNA", at positions 28 to 523 of the family's 1533-position model. The record is from RNAcentral. Lineage: Bacteria; Bacillati; Bacillota; Clostridia; Eubacteriales.